This is a long non-coding RNA of Gorilla gorilla gorilla (western lowland gorilla), 411 nucleotides long. RefSeq lists it as uncharacterized. The record is from RefSeq and is a predicted model, not a curated record. NCBI's taxonomy places the organism in Eukaryota, Metazoa, Chordata, Mammalia, Primates, Hominidae. The transcript is spliced from 4 exons.
ACAACUGACUCUUCUCUAGAGGAUUUGAACUGGAGGAGGCUUGAAGUUGAACAAUGGAACUCUCAGUACCAACUUCCCUUUACAGUCUGAUCUCAGAAGUCUGACAGCCAGUUGUAUUCCUGCAGACCCUCUACCUUCACCUGUACUGAGGUUGUCCCACAUGGCAGUUUCAGGCGAAAUUCUUCUGGAGAUGACAAAGGGCAGGAAGGCGCUUCAGGCCUGCCUAUUCUCUGAGAAACACAAUAUUAAAAUUAGGACAAUUAAUAACCCUACAAUUGCCUCCAUGUGUUCAAGUGAAAGGAAUAUGUUUGCUGACCGCUGGCACAGAGGAAGGAGGGGUCAACUCUGAGGGAACAGGAAGGCUGCCAGAGGGUGCUGUGUCUGAACUGUGUUUAGGAGGUUGAAGAAGGC